Molecule: ribosomal RNA, 256 nt
Filed under: uncultured Glomus
Lineage: Eukaryota; Fungi; Glomeromycota; Glomeromycetes; Glomerales; Glomeraceae
Description: partial 18S ribosomal RNA
Rfam family: Eukaryotic small subunit ribosomal RNA
Source: RNAcentral
AAGCUCGUAGUUGAAUUUCGGGAUUAGUACGUCGGUCGUGCCUUAGGUACGUACUGGUGUUACUGGUUCCUACCUUCUGACGAACCAUCAUGUCAUUAAUUUGGUGUGGUGGGGAAUCAGGACAGUUACUUUGAAAAAAUUAGAGUGUUUAAAGCAGGCUCGCGCUUGAAUACAUUAGCAUGGAAUAAUGAAAUAGGACGUUGAUCCUAUUUUGUUGGUUUCUAGGAUUGACGUAAUGAUUAAUAGGGAAGUUGGG